GGGCUGGUGGCGCAAUGGUUAGCGCAUUGGUUUUCGGCUAGCAAGAAAAAAUCACCAAAGGUUAUGGGUUCGAGUCCCAUCUGGCUCG
Molecule: non-coding RNA, 88 nt
Organism: Pneumocystis wakefieldiae
Lineage: Eukaryota; Fungi; Ascomycota; Pneumocystomycetes; Pneumocystales; Pneumocystaceae
Source: the annotation of a GenBank genome assembly